AACGAACGCUGGCGGCAGGCCUAACACAUGCGAGUCGAGCGAGGACUUCGGUUCUAGCGGCGGACGGGUGAGUAACGCGUGGGAAUGUGCCCUUCUCUACGGAAUAGCCUUGGGAAACUGGGAGUAAUACCGUAUACGCCCUAUUGGGGAAAGAUUUAUCGGAGAAGGAUCAGCCCGCGUUGGAUUAGGUAGUUGGUAGGGUAAUGGCCUACCAAGCCGACGAUCCAUAGCUGGUUUGAGAGAAUGAUCAGCCACACUGGGACUGUGACACGGCCCAGACUCCUACGGGAGGCAGCAGUGGGGAAUCUUAGACAAUGGGGGCAACCCUGAUCUAGCCAUGCCGCGUGAGUGAUGAAGGCCUUAGGGUUGUAAAGCUCUUUCAGCUGGGAAGAUAAUGACGGUACCAGCAGAAGAAGCCCCGGCUAACUCCGUG
Molecule: ribosomal RNA, 433 nt
Filed under: uncultured bacterium
Lineage: Bacteria
Description: partial 16S ribosomal RNA
Rfam family: Bacterial small subunit ribosomal RNA
Source: RNAcentral